UUUGAGUACAGCCGUGUAAACAAAAGCUUUCACCACCAACAAUGGAUACCGGCCCCCACAAUGCACUGCGAAAUCACGUGCCCCGCCGAUCCCAGUUAAUUGAAUCGUCAUCUCCCCGAAAGAAGUUUACGUCCUCUACUAAAGUCCACUUGCAUCAGGGUCACCCACCAGAACCAGCACUGAUGAUGUGUCUAUUGCCUGGUUCCUGUCGAGUGGCCAUCUCCUACAAUACAUAAAGAAAGCACUUGCAAAGGUUCUUGGGUUUCCCUAACUUCUAUAGGCAACUUAUUCGCAACUUAAGCAGCAAAGCUGAACCCUUGACGAGGCUCACAUUCGCUAAGGACCAGCGCAUGGGGAAGGACCGGUCAGUGGGAGGGAGCCGUGACACACCGCAGCCUAUAAAAGACCUAUAACUUGCUUCCAUUCAUUCAUCCAGCCAUCAUUUGAUCUUGUCAUCUCUCCUCUAUCAUGCUGUGUCCAGCUUUUCUUCAAGCCUCGCUGCUCCUCUGCCUCAUUGAGCAAACACUGCAGGGCGGUGUGAAACCUCAGGCUGUGUCCUGGGGCAGAGUGGUGCCAGCCAGAGGUAAAGGUG
Non-coding RNA from Nerophis lumbriciformis (worm pipefish), 592 nucleotides. The record is from RefSeq and is a predicted model, not a curated record. NCBI's taxonomy places the organism in Eukaryota, Metazoa, Chordata, Actinopteri, Syngnathiformes, Syngnathidae.